Molecule: ribosomal RNA, 1340 nt
Filed under: metagenome
Description: bacterial SSU rRNA
Rfam family: Bacterial small subunit ribosomal RNA
Source: RNAcentral
GUGAUUAAUACCGGAUAUUGCCCCUGGGUGAAAGGUGCGUUUGCACCACUAUGAGAUGAGCCUGCGUCCUAUUAGCUUGUUGGUGAGGUAAAGGCUCACCAAGGCGACGAUAGGUAGCCGGCCUGAGAGGGUGUACGGCCACAUUGGGACUGAGAUACGGCCCAGACUCCUACGGGAGGCAGCAGCUAAGAAUAUUCCGCAAUGGGCGAAAGCCUGACGGAGCAAUCCCACGUGAGUGAUGAAGGCCUUCGGGUUGUAAAUCUCUUUCGGCAAAGAAGAAUAAGUCAGGUAGGAAAUGAUCUGACGAUGACGGUAUUUGCAUAAGAAGCACCGACUAACUACGUGCCAGCAGUCGCGGUAAUACGUAGGGUGCGAACGUUGCUCGGAAUCACUGGGCUAAAGGGUGCGCAGGCGGCCAGAUAAGUUAGUGGUGAAAACUUGAGGCUCAACCUCAAGCCUGCCAUUAAAACUAUUUGGCUAGAGUUGUAAUAAAGGCAGCAGGAAUUCCUAGUGUAGGAGUGAAAUCUGUAGAUAUUAGGAGGAACACCAAUGGCGAAGGCAAGCUGCUGGGUAACGACUGACGCUAAGGCACGAAAGCCAGGGGAGCGAAUGGGAUUAGAGACCCCAGUAGUCCUGGCCGUAAACGAUGUACACUAGUUCUAUGGUCUUUUAUUAGAUUAUGGAACAAAGCAAACACGUUAAGUGUACCGCCUGGGGAGUAUGCACGCAAGUGUGAAACUCAAAGGAAUUGACGGGGGCUCGCACAAGCGGUGGAGCAUGUGGUUCAAUUCGAUGAUAAGCGAAAAACCUUACCUAGGCUUGAACGUGUAGAGACAGCCGGUGAAAGCCGGAUUCCUUUCGGGGCUCUAUGCGAGGUGCUGCAUGGCUGUCGUCAGCUCGUGUUGUGAAAUGUUGGGUUUAGUCCCGCAACGAGCGCAACCCUUGUCCUAUGUUGCUAAGCAUCCUUCGGGAUGCAGGACUCUUAGGAUACAGCCGAGGUUAACUCGGAGGAAGGCGGGGAUGACGUCAAGUCCUCAUGGCCCUUACGUCUAGGGCUACACACGUGCUACAAUGGGGCGCACAAAGGGCAGCGAGAUCGCGAGAUUAAGCCAAUCCCAAAAAACGCCUCUCAGUUCGGAUCGCAGUCUGCAACUCGACUGCGUGAAGUUGGAAUCGCUAGUAAUCACAGAUCAGCAUGCUGUGGUGAAUACGUUCUCGAGCCUUGUACACACCGCCCGUCACACCACCCGAGUUGGGUUUACCUGAAGUCAUUGUACUAACCGCAAGGAAGGAGAUGCCGAGGGUGAAUUUAAUAAGGAGGGUGAAGUCGUAACAAGGCG